GACGAACGCUGGCGGCGUGCCUAAUACAUGCAAGUUGAGCGCUGAAGGUUGGUACUUGUACCAACUGGAUGAGCAGCGAACGGGUGAGUAACGCGUGGGGAAUCUGCCUUUGAGCGGGGGACAACAUUUGGAAACGAAUGCUAGUACCGCAUAAAAACUUUAAACACAAGUUUUAAGUUUGAAAGAUGCAAUUGCAUCACUCAAAGAUGAUCCCGCGUUGUAUUAGCUAGUUGGUGAGGUAAAGGCUCACCAAGGCGAUGAUACAUAGCCGACCUGAGAGGGGGAUCGGCCACAUUGGGACUGAGACACGGCCCAAACUCCUACGGGAGGCAGCAGUAGGGAAUCUUCGGCAAUGGACGAAAGUCUGACCGAGCAACGCCGCGUGAGUGAAGAAGGGUUUCGGAUCGUAAAACUCUGUUGGUAGAGAAGAACGUUGGUGAGAGUGGAAAGCUCAUCAAGUGACGGUAACUACCCAGAAAGGGACGGCUAACUACGUG
This 497-nucleotide ribosomal RNA is filed under the name uncultured bacterium. RNAcentral's name for it is "partial 16S ribosomal RNA". It matches the Rfam family "Bacterial small subunit ribosomal RNA", at positions 28 to 507 of the family's 1533-position model. The record is from RNAcentral.